Molecule: transfer RNA, 75 nt
Filed under: Candidatus Wolfebacteria bacterium GWA1_42_9
Lineage: Bacteria; Candidatus Wolfeibacteriota
Description: tRNA-Asp
Rfam family: tRNA
About the family: Transfer RNA (tRNA) molecules are approximately 80 nucleotides in length. Their secondary structure includes four short double-helical elements and three loops (D, anti-codon, and T loops).
Source: RNAcentral
GGACCGGUGGUGUAGCCUGGUUAACAUGUCUCCUUGUCAAGGAGAAGAUCACGGGUUCAAAUCCCGUCCGGUCCG